RNAcentral lists this ribosomal RNA (252 nucleotides) under uncultured bacterium. RNAcentral describes it as "partial 16S ribosomal RNA". It matches the Rfam family "Bacterial small subunit ribosomal RNA", at positions 524 to 776 of the family's 1533-position model. The record is from RNAcentral.
GACGAACCGUGCGAACGUUGUUCGGAAUCACUGGGCUUAAAGGCGCGUAGGCGGCUCAUCAAGUCGGGGGUGAAAUCUUUCGGCCUAACCGGAAAAGUGCCUUCGAUACUGGUGAGCUUGAGCGAGGUAGGGGCAGAUGGAACUUCCGGUGGAGCGGUGAAAUGCGUAGAUAUCGAGAGGAACACCUGCGGCGAAGGCGGGUUGCUGGGCUGAUACUGACGCUGAGGCGCGAAAGCCAGGGGAGCGAACGGG